CAAUCGAACCCGGAGAUAGCUGGUUCUCUCCGAAAUAGCUUUAGGGCUAGCCUUGUAUUAGAUUACUGGAGGUAAAGCACUGAAUAGGCUAGGGGCCGAGAGGUUACCGAACCUUAUCAAACUCAGAAUGCCAGAUAAUUGAUGUACAGGAGUCAGACAGUGUGAGAUAAGUUUCAUUGUCGAAAGGGAAAGAGCCCAGACCCACAGCUAAGGUCCCAAAAUAUAGUUAAGUGGAAAAGGAUGUGGGGGUGCACAGACAACCAGGAUGUUGGCUCAGAAGCAGCCAUUCAUUAAAAGAGUGCGUAAUAGCUCACUGGUCGAGUGCCCCUGCGCCGAAGAUUUAACGGGGCUAAACUAUAUACCGAAGCUUGGGAUGCAGUAAUGCAUGGUAGGAGAGCGUUGUAUGCGGGGUGAAGUCAGAGCGAAAGCGCUGGUGGACUGCAUACAAGUGAGAAUGCCGGAAUGAGUAGCGAGAAAUAUGUGAGAAUCAUAUUGGCCGAAAGUCUAAGGUUUUAGGAGGAAGGUUCGUCCGCUCCUAGUAAGCCGGGAGCUAAGGUGAGGCCGAAAGGCGUAGCCGAUGCACAUACGGUAGAAAUUCCGUAACCGUCGAAGUAUUUAAGCAAAGGGACACUUUGGGAAGGUACAAGCCAGGCGUUGGUAGCCCUGGCCGUAAGGGACUGAAAAUUAGUAGGGAAGUGUACUGGAACAGAGGCGAGAAAAGCUUUGUGUAUAUACAAGACGCCCGUACCGCAAACCGACACAGGUAGAUGGGAAGAGAAUUCUAAGGCCAACGGGAGAAGGGUUGUUAAGGAACUCGGCAAGUUGACCCCGUAACUUCGGAAUAAGGGGUGCUCAUGAAAGUGAGCCGCAGAGAAUAGGCCCAGGCAACUGUUUACCAAAAACACAGGUUUGUGCUAAAUCGAAAGAUGACGUAUACGAGCUGACGCCUGCCCGGUGCUGGAAGGUUAAGAGGAGAUGUGCAAGCAUUGAAUCGAAGCCCCAGUAAACGGCGGCCGUAACUAUAACGGUCCUAAGGUAGCGAAAUUCCUUGUCAGGUAAGUUCUGACCCGCACGAAUGGCGUAAUGAUUUGGGCACUGUCUCAACAGCCCGCCCGGCGAAAUUGUAGUACCGGUGAAGAUGCCGGUUACCCGCGACAAGACGGAAAGACCCCAUGGAGCUUUACUGUAGCUUAAUAUUGGAUUUUGAUAUUUCAUGUACAGAAUAGGUGGGAGACUGAGAAGCAGAGGCGUCAGCUUCUGUGGAGUCGCCUUUGGGAUACCACUCUUGAAGUGUUGAAAUUCUAACCUGCGGCCGUGAAACCGGUCGGGGGACAUUGUUAGGUGGGCAGUUUGACUGGGGCGGUCGCCUCCAAAAAGGUAUCGGAGGCGCUCAAAGGUUCGCUCAGCAUGGACGGAAACCAUGCCCUUGAGUGUAAACGCAUAAGCGAGCCUAACUGCGAGACGGACAGGUCGAGCAGUAACGAAAGUUGGAGUUAGUGAUCCGGCGGUAUGUGAGUGGAAAUGCCGUCGCUCAACGGAUAAAAGCUACCCUGGGGAUAACAGGCUGAUCUCCCCCAAGAGUCCACAUCGACGGGGAGGUUUGGCACCUCGAUGUCGGCUCAUCACAUCCUGGGGCUGUAUUCGGUCCCAAGGGUUCGGCUGUUCGCCGAUUAAAGUGGUACGCGAGCUGGGUUCAGAACGUCGUGAGACAGUUCGGUCCCUAUCUGUCGUGGGCGCAGGAUAUUUGAAGGAAGCUGUCCCUAGUACGAGAGGACCGGGAUGGACGCACCUCUGGUGCACCAGUUGUCACGCCAGUGGCACAGCUGGGCAGCUAAGUGCGGAACGGAUAAACGCUGAAAGCAUCUAAGCAUGAAGCCGCUCCUGAGAUAAGAUAUCCCACUGAGUCAAUCAGGUAAGACCCCUUGAAGACUACAAGGUUGAUAGGCUGUAGGUGUAAGUGUCGUGAGGCAUUGAGCUUGACAGUACUAAUCGGUCGAGGGCUUGACCAA
RNAcentral lists this ribosomal RNA (2009 nucleotides) under human gut metagenome. RNAcentral's name for it is "bacterial LSU rRNA". It matches the Rfam family "Bacterial large subunit ribosomal RNA", at positions 830 to 2925 of the family's 2925-position model. The record is from RNAcentral.